GCUGUCUGUUAUAAUGAAAGUUUGAUAUUUUUGUGUUUAUCAUCCAGUGUAAGAAAUAAGGACCAGCAGAAAUGAACAUAUGAACACAGAGUGUUUUGCAACUGGGAGAAUUUUGAUUGAAGUGGAGAAAGGGACAAGUCCCUAGACAUUUUAGGUUUCAGGGACACUUCUUCUCAGAUUUCACACAGCACUCCACUGCUGCCCUCUCCUCUUGCCCCUUGGUCCACCCUAGGAAGACAUGGUGACCACUUACUGCUCCUUCUUUUGUUAGAGAUUAAAGAGUAAUUGUGUCACAGCUUGAUUUGACUGACAUGGAAAUGCCUGGUGACCAUUCAAGUGGCAGUAGCCUACAUUUUUGUUGUUGUUGGUUUCGAUAUAAAGGCAACAAUGAACUGGAUUCUCUAUUUUCAGCACAACCAGUGCAGCGAUUCCACAUCUUGGGUUCUAGAGAUGGAGAGUAGGCCCGGAAAAGCGAGGCACCUGUGACAGAAGGAGCCUGAGGGUUGCUAAUCAGCUCCACAUGCAGAUUCACCUUCUGGACUUCAGAAUGCUUCUUUGAAGACCUGUAGCCAUGAACUCUGAUUCCUUUCUAAAAUAUGAAAACAAAUAAAUACAAUUUCUUUCAGGAGGCGCCAUCAGAUAAUUUAGACCUCAAGUUGACCUGACUUUUAAAGGUGAUUUGUAAAGUACAUUGAUUUCUCAAGUGCAGUUGUUUUCAUUAUUCUGGAUGGAUUUUCAUUAAAACAACAAAUUCUCAGCUUCUUUCAAAGGGGCAGAUAUUUGAGAUGGUGGCAAUUCCCAGAAAAUUCGUCAAGAAUGAAAGUUGAAUCACAUGCUACAGAGAGGUGAACGUUGGUUAAAAGCAAGUAAAUAUUAUUAGCAGCUGGACA
This 890-nucleotide long non-coding RNA is filed under the name Marmota monax (woodchuck). The record is from RNAcentral. Lineage: Eukaryota; Metazoa; Chordata; Mammalia; Rodentia; Sciuridae.